AUGCUGUGCAAGAACAGAGCUGUUCCUGGCUUCUUGUGCAAGCACCUUGCCAGGAGCGUUGAGUGGCUGGUGGAUAACUGGAUUGAUAAAUCAGAUGAAGCCGGAGUGGUGGAACUGGAGAAAAUGUUUUUUGGCUGAUGGUGAGGUCGGGUAACAGCUAGGAUAGCAGGAAUCAAAAUGAAGCCUGUUGUACCCAAUACUGGACUACGAGUGCUGCCAGUCACUCCUGCUUAAUUAAUUACUGCUGUACACGUUAUGCUUGACCUCUCUGAGGAAGAGCAUGUGUUUGCAUCUUAAUUAACAAAAAUGUUGCAUCUGUCACAGUGAGGGAAAACAACAUCUGAGCUGUGGGCAUGGGGCUUCCCUGCUUUGAGCUCACAGCCAGUCAGACAGUCACCUGCAAUUUGUCUGACAGGAAACUGAAGCUGUGAUGGGAUGUAAUUGAAAAAAUACAGUUCCUGUCACUGCCAGGUGAGCAGCAGUCUCCAGGCUGUGCCAAAUCUGACUUCUUCCCAUCAAGCAAGGUGUUGCUGCACCAGUGUAUGUGAUCUGGGAAACCUGGGGUCCAUCCUUACUGGAGUGGAGAUCAGCUAUGAGUUAUUUUGGCCUCUUGGAUUAGAUAGCUAAUCUGCAUGAUGGCCAGGUGGUUGAGGUUUUAGAGGUUUUGGAGAGCAAAAAUAGGAUGCUCCCCUCCCUAUCCAUACAUAUUCCUUGUACAUCCCUGCUCGUUGCCUCUGCAGCUGGACCCAGAACUGACUGACUGCACAGCAAGAGCUGCAAAUCAAAAUGAAGAGGAUGAAAAGGGACUUCAUGGAGCAAGUACUUGAUGCACGUGGUGGCGAGAUCCCAGAUGUGAAGAAACAGCAAGUGGCUGAGGAGAAGCAGGAACUGGAAAGGAAAUUCUCCUGUUUGAGUGAGGAGGUCAAUGGGCUGAAAAAAAAAGAACUUGAGGACACCAAGAGAGAAAUGGCUCCUGCUGCUGCACUUCCAGGCACUGCAGGGAUCGUCCAGCCACCACCAGCACCUCUGCUGUCAGGGAGCUCCAGCACCCCUCAGCCUCCACCAGGAGUGGCCGUUCUCCUCCCUUCAGCUGGCCUUGGAUUCAGGGCAGCCUCCGCACCUCGGGUGCGUCCGUGGGGAUUGUCCCCACAGCGGGUUCGUGAGCCAGCAGAACAGCUGCAGAGACCAAAUUGAACCAAGCAAAAUGAAGACUUUUGCUGGCUUCUGAGCAGAUGAAAGAUGUGGCCUUGUUUUCAGAACCAAGCGAGGUCUGCAAAGGGCAGCGAGAAAACAAGAGACAGAGGCAUCCUUGAGGAGACCACAGAGAUCGUCAGCUGCUCAAGCAGGACUUUGUGCCUGGGCAAAGGCAGAAGCCAGUUGGACUGCCAGAUUUUUGUUUUCCAGCUCCCAUGGCCAACCUUCAGUGUGCCCCUGAAGAGGACUGGAGGGCCAAAAGCUGUAUCCAAGGGCAAGGCCAUCAUCUGCAGCCCUCCUGGUCUUGGGCUCUGUCCUGGUUCAGGUCCCAGCUCUGGCGUUAAAAACCCAGCGGUGCGUGAACCGGAGACAAUAACAGCUGGGGAGCUGCUGCGCUGCGGAUGGGCCCUUGGGAAGAGAGAGACGUGCCUGCAUGCAAGAGGUUUUCACUUGAAAGAGGGAAACGCGGAUUGCAGAGGGGGGAGGAAGGGCUGCUGCUCAGCCUCCAGCAGCAGAGGGGCAGCAGGGUGCUGAACAGAGGUGGUGGCACCGCCACGCUCAGGGCUGGGUGCUCCGCCAGCCUGCUAGAAGCAAGGCUUGGACCCUUCCCUUGCCGGCCACUGCCCCCGGGGAGGGAUGAGGGGGUCAAAGAUUGCAGCUCAGGCAUUGUGCUCUGUUUUCUCGGUCCUUGGGGCAUUGCAGGGCUGCCAGACGUCUCACCCUCGGGUCAGGGCGGCAGCGGGCGCUGCCGGGCUGGUGACUGCGUGGGCAGGGAGGAGUUGCCCUUGCACAGCUAAAUGCCAGUGGCUGCAUUGGGCAGCUCCAGGAAGUUGCAAAAUGAGAGAGACAUCAGGAUAUAUGAGCUGGAGUCUUGCCCAAAGGCUUUCGUUUAAUUGUAAUGGUUCCUUCUAUAUAAAGUCACUUUUUUUUGUGUGUGGCUUUGCAGCUGUGGACAAUCGAUGCUGCGGCAGCAUCGUGAUACCAUCAGGGUUUACCAAUGCAGCUUAUGUAGAAAUAAACAUUAUUUUUGGUACAAAAGAAAUGUGAUCUUGAGCGUCUUUGCCUCCAUAUCGUAAUUUUCAUGCAAAGACCAGCCUGGAGCCUCGUGGCACUGAGUCACGGGGCCUCACCCAGGCUGGAGCCGUCCCUGCGGGUGGACUGCUGGGCGCUGCUGCCGGCUGGGUGCUGCCACCCUCCCACUCCCUGAGCCAAAGAAUUCCUUGACAUCCACCCAUACCCUGGGGAUAAACCAGGAGGCAUGGCCCUGGCCACGCAGCUCAAGCCUUUCUUGUCCCCAAAGGUGUCCAUGUACCAGCAUGGCUGUGUCUGGGCAGGAUUUGGGUGAGCCUAGAGGCUGCCAGAAAUCGGGCAAGCUGCAGCUCCCUGCCGGCUGCACGACUGUCGUGGCCAGAUGGCCGCUAUAGUUGGGCAAAUGCUUUGCCACGUGCUGGUGUCCCUGGCUUCUUGUCACGGGAGCUGUUCGUCCUUGCGAGCAGUUCUGUACAUGGGGCAUGGGGACAAUGGUGCAGGGCUCUAUCACGUGUGGCCACCCAUCAUGGGGCCAAACGCGUCUUUUGGCAGCUGCUGAUGUCCCAGUGGCAUCCACUGGAGGAUGGAGGAGGAGGAGAAGCCACGGGGAGGUCAGGGCAUUGGGGACCAAAGGAGCUGGGACAAAGGGAGCCCAAAGCAACCUCCAUGGACCCAUCAUCGUUGGAGGAGCCUGGAGCAGCUUGAGCAUGGCAGUGAUGAAACAAGCUCCUGAAGCAGAAAGGAGAUGGCAGGGGGUGAGAAGGUGCUGGGGGGGCAUGACCAAGAGGGUCCUUGGAGCCUCCUGAGGAUGCUUUUUUUCCCUUCCAGGUUCAGCACACUGCCACCAGCAUCUCCCCAACGCUGUCCUCCUCACCUCCCUUGUCCCCUGCUCGGGGGCACGCAGCCAUCAGCUGCCCCUGCCUCGUCCCCAGCCCCCUUCCUGCUCGAGGUGUCCCUGCUGCUGCAUCGGGAGGGGUGAGCCAGGGCACCGCUCCCUGCAGGCACAGACACAGGGGACAGCCAAGAUAAUUUUUAAAAUGAGGGCAGAGACCUCGUUAGUGCCCCAGUUUGUCUCAACUCUCCCAAAGUGGUUUCUUUUUUGAUUAGCGAGGCAAGGACAAGUUGCUAUUUGGGGAGCAUGAUGCCCCAAAACUGGGUACUGGUGGGGGGGCAGCAUGUCCUGGGGGGCUGCUGGGCCCAUCCUCCACUUUCCAUCCUCCAAUUUCCAUUCCAUUUUCCCUCUUUCCAUCCUCCAACAACACAGGGCAGCCCGCGGCAUUGGCGAGAGCAGCCGCCUCCAAACCUUUUUGAUCUCACUUCCCCACCAGUUAAAACAUUUUGAUCCCUCCCCACCCCCCCGUACAUUUUUUAUUGAUGCACUUGUAUUGCGAUGCAUUUUGUGCAUAUUGCA
Anas platyrhynchos (mallard) is the source of this 3634-nucleotide non-coding RNA. The record is from RefSeq and is a predicted model, not a curated record. NCBI's taxonomy places the organism in Eukaryota, Metazoa, Chordata, Aves, Anseriformes, Anatidae.